CCAUGAAAACUUUUGAAAUGCAGUUAUGGAGACACUUAUCAAUUUAUUCAUUUGUAAAAUGAGAUAUUGAGAUUACAUGACCUCCAAGUUCCUUUAAACCCUAUCAUUCUACACCAAGCUGCUCAGUGUCACUAUUUUAUUACAAAACAGAUCUCAUAACCUUUUACAACCCACACAACACUCUGCAGAGGUUUUCUGUUUUUUCCUCUAUUUUCAUGACCCUAAAUAAUAGUAUUGAGCCCUCUUAAUUGAGUUGUACAUUAUUAAAACAAUAGGUAAACAGAAUAUGUUUUUUGAACAAUAAAGAACCCUUAGAAGUAGUGGGUCCAUCUACAUAUUCCACUGAGAAUUGCUGGAGUAUUUCAGUGGUUUCCAAGGGCAAGCCUAUGUUUGUUUUCACUGUUCAGUGAAAAAUGAGAAAAAUUCAGAGAGCCUAAGAUUUUAAAAUAAAUAAUUUACAAAAUAUUUGGGAAAUUAAAUCUUUCUUUGGCUUUUUGUGGUGGAAUGUUCAUUCUUUUAUGAAAUGAAGUUUUUAUUAUUAGUUAAGACUUUCAUCUUCUGAUAAAUACAAAAAAGUCUUAAAAUCACUGGUGUUCAUUUUACCUUUUUUAAUAUUUUUAUUUCUUUUAUCUCAUUAUCACCAAAUUAGUAAAUUUGAUUUUGUCUAUGGACUAAAGUCUGUAUGUCAAGAUCUUAAUUUGUAUUCCUGGAAUACCAAAAUUCUGAGUUACAUGGAUUAUUGUUUAUGUGCAUAAAUGCAAUUACAGAUCUAGGAAAUCUAGUCUACCUUUUAUAACAAGCUAUUAAAAUAAUUAAAUUAACAACAAAAAUGAUUAUUAAAAAACCUGUAUUGUUUUAUUAUCUUAAAAUUUGUAGAUUAUUUGCUUUCUACAUUUAAACAUUAACAUUUCUUUGAAAUUGUAAAUAGUAGCUAUUAGGCUUUCUUUCAUGUUUUGACAUAGUAAUUUCUAUAAAAAGCCAUAUUUGUAUCUAUUAUUACUUUUAAUAUUUCUAUUUCUCAUAGUGCUUGGUACAGUUCUGGGCAAAGAAAAUGAUAUUUAAAACACACGUUUUGCUUUUUGGACUGACUGACAGCUAACUGUUGGGGCAAAUUUUUAAUUUCCUCAGAAAAAUAAGUAUUUCUCUUUUAUAAACCAGUCUAAAAUAAUAAGCUAAAAUAAAUCCAUAUUUUGCCAGGUAAAUAAUAUAUUAUUUAAAUAAAGUAAAAUUCAUAGAAUAUACUGUAGUCUCUGGCCUACGCCAGAGCCACAGCAACACGGGAUCCGAGCCACGUCAGCAACCUACACCACAGCUCAUGGCAACGCCGGAUCAUUAACCCACUGAGCGAGGCCAGGGACCAAACCCGCAACCUCAUGGUUCCUAGUUGGAUUUGUUAACCACUGCGCCACGACGGGAACUUCCUACAUUGAGUUAAUUUCUAAUGUAUAAUCUAUUUUCCUAUUUUCAAAAACAUAUACUUUACAGUUUGGUAAGGCAUAUCUUAGAAGAUAUUUAUAUUGUCCAGGUUAAACUUAGGAGAGAAGCAAACAAAUACAGUGACUUUAAAUAAAGGUAGGAAGUUGCAGCUCAAUGACAGAGAAAAGAAAUUCUGAUUCAAUAAAGUGUUUUUCUUUCCAUUCCCAUCAAAAACUAGGAAGUAUGCGAGGCUGAAAUCUUUGCAGGUCUGUCCUAUUAUUCUUGGAAGUGAAUGUUGUAUUGGAUUAGUUACCUGUUUUUGGACAGUGAAUAAUUGAUGUCCAUAAAUCACUUUGAAGAUCAAUAGCAAUUCCUAAGUUCUAAUAAUUUUUAUUAGGAUGAUUUUUCCCAUAAAUAUAGUGACUUUUUGCAAUGGCACUUUGAAAAAGCAUGAGUUAGUGACUGAGAACAUGUAUCAAGCCAAGAGGAGAAGAGUAAUUGAGAAGUUUGAAAGGUACUAAUUUUGAGAUAUCAAAUUUUAGAUGAAUUAAUAAUAGCCUGUGUGGACUAAAUAAUAUUAAUUCAAACAUGAAGUAAUCUACAUCUAUUUAUGAUUGAAUUUCAAGCUUGUGAAGUAAAUGUCAUAACAAGAGAAUAUGUUCCUGAUAUUUACUCAUAAAAAACCUCAAGUAUUCUCAGAGGCUUCAGAUAGCAAUGAUUAUGGGUGUAGGCAACCUUUAUUGCCUUUAGUUGGAGUAGUUAUAAAAUCUCCCAAAGUAACUCUCAGCAGAUAAAUUUUAGCCUAUUUUUGUUGACAACAAAGAGUAACUGAAUACAUUACUGGCUUUUUACACCAGAUCACUUAAUUUAUCUAUUUAAAAGUGAAAGUGAUAUCAUCCUAAAUUAUUGUUAUAUUUAGAGUUGCAAACUCAUACAGAGGUAUUUUCAUCCUUUUAAAUUCUUAAGUGAGUAUAGCCUUUAAAAGUUUCUAAAAAAUCGGACUUCCCAUCAUGGUGCAGUGAAAACAAAUAUGACUAGGAACCAUGAGGUUGCAGGUUCAAUCCCUGGCCUCGCUCAUGAGGAUCUGGUAUCACCAUGUGCUGUGAUGUGGGUUGUGGACACAGCUCGGAUCUGGCAUUGCUGUGGCUGUGGCAUAGGCCGGCGGCUGCAGCUCCGAUUCGACCCCUAGCCUGGGAACCUCCAUAUGCUGCAGUGCGGCCCUAAAAAAAAGACAAAAAGACAAAAAAAAGAAAAGAAAAGAAAAGAAGUUUCUAAAAAAUAGAGGGGAAGGAUCAAGAUGGAGGAGAAGACGUCGCAUGCUUACCUUCUUCCACAAACACAUCAAAAAAACACAUCAACAUGUAAAACCACUCACACAAAACAUCUACUGAAUACUGGCAGAUGAACUUAUACCUCCAAAAGGGCAAGAAACUCUUGACAUAACUGGGUAGAACAAAAGAAAAAAAGAGAGAGAGAGAGAGAAAAGGAAUCAGGAUGAGAGUAGCAUUACUGAGAGGGAGCUGUGAAAGGGAAAAGGAACCCACAUCCUGGGAAGCCACCUUACCAACAGGGAGAUCAGCUGAGAUGGAGGGACCUCAAAGUCACCAAGAAAAGCUCAGCAGAUGGACCGAGGAGGGCAAAGUAGAGUGAGCACAGAUCAUCUGUACCACUGGCCCAGAUACCACAGCUUGAGAUGAUUGGGCAGGGGCUGGGCACUAAAACUUAGGCUCCAGAGGUCAGUUCCGGGGAGAGGACUAGGGUUGGCAGCGUGGGGACAGCCUGAAAGGGUAAGGAGCAAUGUGCCAUGGAGGGGGGAGCAGUGUGUUACAGGCUGGGGAGUAGAACACCAAGGAAUAGGGAACCAGGGAGGAGAUCUGGGCCCACAGGAGAAACAAGGCACCAUUGUUGGGAAGGGCAAGAGGAGGAGGGGUGGACUGCCAUAGGAAUCUCCUUGUACACACGCAGAAGGGCUCUCAGAGGGUGGGGUGACUCUGCUGCAGGUUACUAGUGGCGAGAAGCCACUUGCUCGGUCUAUGGGAGGCCAGGCACUUCUUGUGCCAGCUCUGGGUGACCAGGCACCUCUUGUGAGGGCUAAGGGAAGUGGAAGGGCUAAGUAUGAUGUGGUGCUUCUUGCAUGAUUUAUAGGCAGCAGGGACAGAUAGUGGAGGGAGGUGUGGCCUACCACCACCAGGGGCCUGUGAGUGGCCUCCACCUGUGGCCCCAGUCACAUCAGGGGGUGGCCAAAAAAAAGAGUGCACUGCAACAGAAUACCACCCAUUGUUGCUCUCACUCCCCUAGGAACAUACCUGCCCUGCUGCUGCCACUGGCAAAUGCUCUAGGCAGUGCUCAGAUGCUUCAUCACUGUCCCUUCCCAAGACUCUGCAAUUAGGAGCAGCUGGUGCAGCACCUCCUACGUGGGCUAAGUGGGACAGGGUGCUUCUUGCAUAGUCUACAGGUGGCAGGGGCAAAGCACCAUGGUAAUCUCUGACUCCAGAGGUUGGCGUGGCACGUCAUCACUAGGGGUCCAUGAUCAGGUACCACUUGCAAUACCAAUCACCUCAGAGGGCACCUCAGAGGAGGGCAUUGUGACCGAACACUACCUGUUGAUGCUCUCAAACCACUGGGAACUCACCCACCCUGCUGCUACCACUGCCAAACACCCCAGACAGUGCCCACAUGCUUGAUCACUGUCACUUUUCAAGAUCCUGCUACUAGGAGCAGCUGGUUCAGCACUUGCUGCACGGACUAAGCAGGACAGGAUGCUUCUUGCAUGGUCUGCAGGUGAUGGGAGCAAACCACUGCAGUUAUCUCUGACUCCAGAGGUGGGCGGGCUCCACCACCAGUAGGGGUCCGUGAACAAGCAGCACUUGCGGCCCUAAACACCUCAAGAGCAUGACAAAGGAGGACACUGCAACCAAACACUACCUGUUGUUGCUUUUGCAUCUCUGGGAGCAUACCAGCUCUGAGCAGCACCCAGAUGCUUGAUCACUGUCACUUCCUAGGACCCUGCAAUUAGGAGCAGCCUAUGCAGCACUUCCCUUGUGUGCUAAGUGGGACGGGGUGCUUCUUGCAUGGUUUGCAGGUGGCAGGGGCAGAACACUGCAGUUAUUACUGAUUCCAGAGGUGGGCCACCACUACUAGGGGUCCCAGAACAAGCACCACUUAUGACCCCAAUCACCUCAAAGGAGGGCACUGCAAUUGACAUUACCUGUUCUUGCUCUCA
Molecule: long non-coding RNA, 4639 nt
Filed under: Sus scrofa (pig)
Lineage: Eukaryota; Metazoa; Chordata; Mammalia; Artiodactyla; Suidae
Description: lncRNA (ENSSSCG00065000623.1)
Source: RNAcentral